This 253-nucleotide ribosomal RNA is filed under the name uncultured prokaryote. RNAcentral describes it as "partial 16S ribosomal RNA". It matches the Rfam family "Bacterial small subunit ribosomal RNA", at positions 524 to 776 of the family's 1533-position model. The record is from RNAcentral.
UACGGAGGGUGCAAGCGUUAUCCGGAUUCACUGGGUUUAAAGGGUGCGUAGGUGGCUUUGUAAGUCAGUGGUGAAAUGUUACGGCUCAACCGUAAAACUGCCAUUGAUACUGCUUAGCUUGAAUCAGGUCGAGGUGGAUGGAAUAUUACAUGUAGCGGUGAAAUGCUUAGAUAUGUAAUAGAACACCGAUUGCGAAGGCAGUUCACUAGGCCUGUAUUGACACUGAGGCACGAAAGCGUGGGGAUCAAACAGG